RNAcentral lists this long non-coding RNA (707 nucleotides) under Rattus norvegicus (Norway rat). RNAcentral's name for it is "long non-coding RNA NONRATT018141". The record is from RNAcentral. Lineage: Eukaryota; Metazoa; Chordata; Mammalia; Rodentia; Muridae.
UCAAUGAAAGACUCUUCUCACAAAGCAAGUCUCCUUCCCAUAAAUCAAAGAGGCAGCAGCAAGAGUUAAUUGCAGAAUUAAGAAGGCGACAAGUUAAAGAUAACCGUCAUGUGUACGAGGGAAAAGACGGCGCCAUUGAAGACAUUAUCACAGCCUUAAAGAAGAAUAAUAUCACUAAAUUUCCAAAUGUUCACUCGAGGAUCUUAGAAACCAACCCUACAGAAGAGCCGAUGCGGUGAGACGAAGUGUGAGGCGACGCUUUGAUGAUCAGAAUUUGCGUUCUGUUAAUGGUGGGGAAAUAACAAUGUGACCUGAGACCGCCUUCACGAGAAGGGUGUACAUGAAACUGCCAUUCCAGCCUUCAAUACAGAUGAAAUACUCUCAAGGGCUCAGAUUUAGUAAACAUAUAGGAAUUUAAAAAAUAAUGGGUUCUCCUUUUAACCCCUGUUAACAAGUGCCUAAAAUUGGAAGUAACUUGCUCAGAUUAAUCAAAGCAAUAGGAUUUGACUUAAAUCUUUUUACAUCAGUAUGUUACUCAGUUUUUUAACCAAAAUGUAAAUUUCAUAUUAAAUUCAUUAUUUGCCAUUGUGAUUGUCCUUUAUGGCCCACCCUGGUUUCCUGGUAAUCUGUAAAUAACAGGGAUGUGAAUGCUAUGGGCUUCCUUUGCUGAGAGGUCUUCUAAGAAAUUGUUUUCGAGCCAUAUUCAC